This 25-nucleotide ribosomal RNA is filed under the name Rhizoctonia solani. RNAcentral describes it as "28S ribosomal RNA". Lineage: Eukaryota; Fungi; Basidiomycota; Agaricomycetes; Cantharellales; Ceratobasidiaceae. The record is from RNAcentral.
GACUACCCGCUGAACUUUAAGCAUA